UAGACUUUGCUUGGAGCCAGUCUAGAAUGGAGAAGUAAGACACCUCCUUCCCUCCGCUUGUCUGGGAGUUCACCUUGGACAAGUGAUAGUACUCCCUUGCCUCCCUGCCUGGGGUUACAGGUUCUAAUUAUGCAUCAAAUAUCAAGUAGAAAACAAAGCUGUUACCUUGCAUGAGGUGUUGAUCGUGAAAAGCUGAUGGAAGAAUAUUUAGGUGUAUGAUGGUGUUGGUGAUGGUAAUGAACUAAUAAUCAUAGAUGGUGAUUUAGAAAUGAUAGUACAGUAAUAUUACUGAUGGUGUUGGUGGUGGUCAUUAUGAUGGUGGUCAAAAUUGCGAUUGUGGCCGUGAUGAUGUCUGAGAUUGCAAUGUUGAGAGAUGGUGAUUAUUAUUGCAGUGUGAUAGUGAUGGUUAUUACGGCAAUGUUGUGAUGGUGGUGAAAAUGGUGAUAGUGGUUAUUGUUGCAGUGUUGUUGAUGGUGGUAAUGAUUAUAACAGUGCUGAUGUUGGUGAUGGUCGCAUGAUAAAGGUGCUGAUAGUGACGAUGGUGUAAAAAUGCUGAUAGUUACCGUUUUGUCACUUAAAAUAAAUGCAGGUAAUGAAGAGGUUGUGAUGGUACAAAUCAUUGUUACGAUGGUGAUUAUAAUUGGUGUGUUGAUGGUUAAAUGACAGUGGUAAUUAUGACAACAAAAUUGUGAAGAUAUUGAUUGGAACAGUUGCCUGGUUGCUGCUUUCGCCUGUUUUUCUUGUCAAGAAAUCGUUUAAACUGAAAUCAAGCAAAUUGUGAAAACCUGACUGGAAUAUGUUCAAGUCAUCUGUUGUCGACACAUGAAAAAGCAAGGAAGAAACUAUGCACUUGUCUGAUAGAUCAGAUUUGUGAGAACUUACGGAACAGAUAGAUAAUUUAAUGGAAAAUAAUGUAAGUACUUUUAUUUUUGUUGAAAAUACGAUUAUUUAUUCAGCAAAGCUUUCAAACUGUAAUCCCGAUCAUUGUCUGCAGUACGGUAAAUAAGGUUACUAUUUAGGUUCCAGGUUCUCAAGCAAGUUCUCAUUUUCUCAGCAAAAAGUUGUUGGUGCGUAUAUUUACUAGUCGUAUAUUAUUUCUUAAAUUUUCUCCGAAUGCAUGAAUACAAUUUAGCAAAUAAAAAGUUUUAAG
Molecule: non-coding RNA, 1150 nt
Organism: Paramuricea clavata
Lineage: Eukaryota; Metazoa; Cnidaria; Anthozoa; Malacalcyonacea; Plexauridae
Source: the annotation of a GenBank genome assembly